AGAUGAUACUAGAUUUAAUCCCGAUUUUAGAAAAUCCGGGAUUAAAUUUAGUACCCCGUUCGGUAAGCACCAAAACCGGUAUUAAACUGAAAGAACUCAGCCACGUGUAAAUGUGUGCGUGUGAGAAAGAACAGAUGAAAACGAAAUGAUGGAAAUGUCAUUUUCCAUCGCUUUGUGUUUUGUUCACAUCAUUCGCCUUGAGCAUAAAAGUGGGUCCGGGAAAAGCUGGAGAUUUACAUUGGUGUCCAAUCUAAUUGAACACAGACGUUGGAUGAAAUGCUGGACUUAUCGGUGCUGCGAUAAAACGCCCAGUGGCCGUUGCGAAACCAGUCAAAAACUGUAAAGACCAGACAGCAGCUAUAAACAAUGUAUUCAGCAGGAGUCCCAUCAGAAGCUGGUGAACUAGCGGUGCAUCUGGUGGUGCCACCUGUCCAGGACGUGUUACUUAGUUGAUUUCAAUUUGAACAUUGGAACUCCCCAAGUAGUAUGACGUGAAAAUUAUAGUGAGUAAAACCGUUUGUUCCGAUAUGAGCUAGCUGGUUGUCCGAUAUUUCGCGGUUUACCGUUUUGCGGUAGUACCAUUUCGCGGUGUGGUUUUUCCUACAAGUUGCACUGAAAAUUGUUGGCAUUACCACUAAUAGCAUUUUCAUCGGUGAUUUACCCUUCUUUUAAGCACAGGCUUUCUUCCAAAUUGCACUGUUAAGAUAGAUAAAACAUCUCAGUAUAAACCGCGAAAUGGUACCAAGGCUGGUAGCAGUCAGACAGCAAAAUAAUAGUGACUUUAGUGAC
This is a long non-coding RNA of Aedes aegypti (yellow fever mosquito), 789 nucleotides long. RefSeq lists it as uncharacterized. The transcript is spliced from 2 exons. The record is from RefSeq and is a predicted model, not a curated record. NCBI's taxonomy places the organism in Eukaryota, Metazoa, Arthropoda, Insecta, Diptera, Culicidae.